UUCAUCACCUGUUUUUUUCUUGCCAAACUACUAAUGGUGUCUGGAGCAGAAUCUGCAGUUGGUUGGGUCAACAAAGGGUAGUAGCAGACUGGGAGACAGAAUUGCAAUGGGUAUGUAAUAAGGCAAAGAGUCAUAUGGCUUUCAAUGAAAUAAUUGUCUGUGCUUUCAUUCAUACUGUCGCUCUUAUAUGGCGAGAGAGGAACAACAUAAGAUUUAAC
Molecule: long non-coding RNA, 218 nt
Filed under: Nicotiana benthamiana
Lineage: Eukaryota; Viridiplantae; Streptophyta; Magnoliopsida; Solanales; Solanaceae
Description: long non-coding RNA (NBEN_LNC011143)
Source: RNAcentral